RNAcentral lists this ribosomal RNA (440 nucleotides) under uncultured bacterium. RNAcentral's name for it is "partial 16S ribosomal RNA". It matches the Rfam family "Bacterial small subunit ribosomal RNA", at positions 338 to 795 of the family's 1533-position model. The record is from RNAcentral.
CCUACGGGAGGCAGCAGUGGGGAAUAUUGCACAAUGGGGGAAACCCUGAUGCAGCGACGCCGCGUGAGUGAAGAAGUAAUUCGUUAUGUAAAGCUCUAUCAGCAGGGGAGAAAAUGACGGUACCUGAGUAAUAAGCCCCGGCUAACUCCGUGCCAGCAGCCGCUGUAAUACGUUGGGUGCACGCGUUAUCCGGAUAUACUGGGUGUAACGGGAGCGUAGACGGCAGUGCAAGUCUGGAGUGAAAGGCGGGGGCUCAACCCCCGGACUGCUCUGGAGACUGUACGGCUGGAGUGCAGGAGAGGUAAGUGGAAUUCCUGGUGUAGCGGUGAAAUGCGUAGAUAUUAGGAAGAACACCAGUGGCGAAGGCGGCUUACUGGACUGUAACUGACGUUGAGGCUCGAAAGCGUGGGGAGCAAACAGGAUUAGAUACCCGAGUAGUC